Molecule: unclassified non-coding RNA, 201 nt
Filed under: Hevea brasiliensis (rubber tree)
Lineage: Eukaryota; Viridiplantae; Streptophyta; Magnoliopsida; Malpighiales; Euphorbiaceae
Source: RNAcentral
GCAACAAAAAUCAACUAGGAGCAUAGAAAGACUUGGUAAGCACAACUUGGUUUGGGGUGGAUUUGACCUAACCCAUCAGGUUUUAAAGCUAGAGGCGUCGGAAUGGUUUUCUAACCGGGGGAAUAGGCAGAUCAGCAAUUGGAGAGCUGUUGGAAUUGAUUAGAUGCUGGAAAAAUCUGGAAAUUUUACGGGUCUAAAUUU